This 253-nucleotide ribosomal RNA is filed under the name uncultured bacterium. Its description in RNAcentral is "partial 16S ribosomal RNA". It matches the Rfam family "Bacterial small subunit ribosomal RNA", at positions 524 to 776 of the family's 1533-position model. The record is from RNAcentral.
UACAGAGGGUGCGAGCGUUGUCCGGAAUUACUGGGCGUAAAGGGCGCGUAGGCGGCUUGGUAAGUCGGGGGUGAAAGUCAGCGGCUCAACCGCUGGACUGCCUUCGAGACUGCCUGGCUUGAGCAUGGUAGAGGCUGGCGGAAUUCCCGGUGUAGCGGUGGAAUGCGUAGAGAUCGGGAAGAACAUCGGUGGCGAAGGCGGCCAGCUGGGCCAUUGCUGACGCUGAUGCGCGACAGCGUGGGGAGCAGACAGG